Molecule: ribosomal RNA, 259 nt
Filed under: uncultured bacterium
Lineage: Bacteria
Description: partial small subunit ribosomal RNA
Rfam family: Bacterial small subunit ribosomal RNA
Source: RNAcentral
AGGACGAACGCUGGCGGCGUGCUUAACACGUGCAAGUCGAGCGGAAAGGCCCUUUUGGGGGUACUCGAGCGGCGAACGGGUGAGUAACACGUGAGUAACCUGCCCUGGACUUUGGGAUAACCCUCGGAAACGGGGGCUAAUACCGGAUAUGACUUGGCCUCGCAUGGGGUUGGGUGGAAAGUUUUUCGGUCUGGGAUGGGCUCGCGGCCUAUCAGCUUGUUGGUGGGGUGAUGGCCUACCAAGGCGACGACGGGUAGCC